UAUUAAAAAUUUUAUUUAUUUUUAUUUUUAAAAAUUAACGUGACUAAUAGAAUAAUCAGAUAAUCGUGUACCUCGUACUGAUGUAAUAAAAACUAAUUUUUAACAAUAAAAAUCAAUAAAACUUUUAACA
This is a non-coding RNA of Gossypium hirsutum (cotton), 130 nucleotides long. NCBI's taxonomy places the organism in Eukaryota, Viridiplantae, Streptophyta, Magnoliopsida, Malvales, Malvaceae. The record is from Rfam.